CGAUUCGCCCGCACGCAGGAAUGCGGCGCCUGGAAGCGGCUUUCGAAGAAUGUGGCUCUAGCUGCAAAAGAAAGCCGGAAAAAUCGCGAGAAAACGCUUCAGUUUCACCAAAAUGCUAGAAAAAUAUAUAGCCUGGUAACGAUUGCGCAGCUAUGAUGUGUGGCAUCAAUGAGCAUCCUGUCAUCAUUUUGACUCAUUGGUAUCGAAAUCAGAACACCAUUUUCUACACCGCUACCUUGUAUAGGUUCAU
This 250-nucleotide small RNA is filed under the name Rhizobium sp. NXC14. Its description in RNAcentral is "miscellaneous other RNA". The record is from RNAcentral. Lineage: Bacteria; Pseudomonadati; Pseudomonadota; Alphaproteobacteria; Hyphomicrobiales; Rhizobiaceae.